Molecule: ribosomal RNA, 445 nt
Filed under: uncultured soil bacterium
Lineage: Bacteria
Description: bacterial SSU rRNA
Rfam family: Bacterial small subunit ribosomal RNA
Source: RNAcentral
AGAACGAACGCUGGCGGCAUGCCUAAUACAUGCAAGUCGAACGAGAUCUUCGGAUCUAGUGGCGCACGGGUGCGUAACGCGUGGGAAUCUACCCUUGGGUUCGGAAUAACAGUUGGAAACGACUGCUAAUACCGGAUGAUGACGAAAGUCCAAAGAUUUAUCGCCCAAGGAUGAGCCCGCGUAGGAUUAGCUAGUUGGUGAGGUAAAGGCUCACCAAGGCUACGAUCCUUAGCUGGUCUGAGAGGAUGAUCAGCCACACUGGGACUGAGACACGGCCCAGACUCCUACGGGAGGCAGCAGUAGGGAAUAUUGGACAAUGGGGGCAACCCUGAUCCAGCAAUGCCGCGUGAGUGAUGAAGGCCUUAGGUUGUAAAGCUCUUUUACCCGAGAUGAUAAUGACAGUAUCGGGAGAAUAAGCUCCGGCUAACUCCGUGCCAGCAGCCGC